RNAcentral lists this unclassified non-coding RNA (345 nucleotides) under soil metagenome. RNAcentral describes it as "partial contains 5.8S ribosomal RNA, internal transcribed spacer 2, and large subunit ribosomal RNA". The stretch from base 1 to 120 matches the Rfam family "5.8S ribosomal RNA", at positions 35 to 154 of the family's 154-position model. The record is from RNAcentral.
GAUGAAGAACGCAGCGAAAUGCGAUAAGUAGUGUGAAUUGCAGAAUUCAGUGAAUCAUCGAGUCUUUGAACGCACAUUGCGCCCUCUGGUAUUCCGGAGGGCAUGCCUGUCCGAGCGUCAUUGCUGCCCUCAAGCACGGCUUGUGUGUUGGGCUCCGUCCCCCGAUCCCGGGGGACGGGCCCGAAAGGCAGCGGCGGCACCGCGUCCGGUCCUCGAGCGUAUGGGGCUUUGUCACCCGCUCUGUAGGCCCGGCCGGCGCUUGCCGAUCAACCAAAUUUUUAUCCAGGUUGACCUCGGAUCAGGUAGGGAUACCCGCUGAACUUAAGCAUAUCAAUAAGCGGAGGA